GGGUUGUGAGGUUAAGCGACUAAGCGUACACGGUGGAUGCCCUGGCAGUCAGAGGCGAUGAAGGACGUGCUAAUCUGCGAUAAGCGUCGGUGAGGUGAUAUGAACCGUUAUAACCGGCGAUUUCCGAAUGGGGAAACCCAGUGUGUUUCGACACACUAUCAUUAACUGAAUCCAUAGGUUAAUGAGGCGAACCGGGGGAACUGAAACAUCUAAGUACCCCGAGGAAAAGAAAUCAACCGAGAUUCCCCCAGUAGCGGCGAGCGAACGGGGAGGAGCCCAGAGCCUGAAUCAGUGUGUGUGUUAGUGGAAGCGUCUGGAAAGGCGUGCGAUACAGGGUGACAGCCCCGUACACAAAAAUGCACAUAUUGUGAGCUCGAUGAGUAGGGCGGGACACGUGGUAUCCUGUCUGAAUAUGGGGGGACCAUCCUCCAAGGCUAAAUACUCCUGACUGACCGAUAGUGAACCAGUACCGUGAGGGAAAGGCGAAAAGAACCCCGGCGAGGGGAGUGAAAAAGAACCUGAAACCGUGUACGUACAAGCAGUGGGAGCCUCUUAAUGGGGUGACUGCGUACCUUUUGUAUAAUGGGUCAGCGACUUAUAUUCUGUAGCAAGGUUAACCGAAUAGGGGAGCCGAAGGGAAACCGAGUCUUAACUGGGCGUUAAGUUGCAGGGUAUAGACCCGAAACCCGGUGAUCUAGCCAUGGGCAGGUUGAAGGUUGGGUAACACUAACUGGAGGACCGAACCGACUAAUGUUGAAAAAUUAGCGGAUGACUUGUGGCUGGGGGUGAAAGGCCAAUCAAACCGGGAGAUAGCUGGUUCUCCCCGAAAGCUAUUUAGGUAGCGCCUCGUGAAUUCAUCUCCGGGGGUAGAGCACUGUUUCGGCAAGGGGGUCAUCCCGACUUACCAACCCGAUGCAAACUGCGAAUACCGGAGAAUGUUAUCACGGGAGACACACGGCGGGUGCUAACGUCCGUCGUGAAGAGGGAAACAACCCAGACCGCCAGCUAAGGUCCCAAAGUCAUGGUUAAGUGGGAAACGAUGUGGGAAGGCCCAGACAGCCAGGAUGUUGGCUUAGAAGCAGCCAUCAUUUAAAGAAAGCGUAAUAGCUCACUGGUCGAGUCGGCCUGCGCGGAAGAUGUAACGGGGCUAAACCAUGCACCGAAGCUGCGGCAGCGACACUAUGUGUUGUUGGGUAGGGGAGCGUUCUGUAAGCCUGUGAAGGUGGCCUGUGAGGGUUGCUGGAGGUAUCAGAAGUGCGAAUGCUGACAUAAGUAACGAUAAAGCGGGUGAAAAGCCCGCUCGCCGGAAGACCAAGGGUUCCUGUCCAACGUUAAUCGGGGCAGGGUGAGUCGACCCCUAAGGCGAGGCCGAAAGGCGUAGUCGAUGGGAAACAGGUUAAUAUUCCUGUACUUGGUGUUACUGCGAAGGGGGGACGGAGAAGGCUAUGUUGGCCGGGCGACGGUUGUCCCGGUUUAAGCGUGUAGGCUGGUUUUCCAGGCAAAUCCGGAAAACCAAGGCUGAGGCGUGAUGACGAGGCACUACGGUGCUGAAGUGACAAAUGCCCUGCUUCCAGGAAAAGCCUCUAAGCAUCAGGUAACAUCAAAUCGUACCCCAAACCGACACAGGUGGUCAGGUAGAGAAUACCAAGGCGCUUGAGAGAACUCGGGUGAAGGAACUAGGCAAAAUGGUGCCGUAACUUCGGGAGAAGGCACGCUGAUAUGUAGGUGAAGCGACUUGCUCGUGGAGCUGAAAUCAGUCGAAGAUACCAGCUGGCUGCAACUGUUUAUUAAAAACACAGCACUGUGCAAACACGAAAGUGGACGUAUACGGUGUGACGCCUGCCCGGUGCCGGAAGGUUAAUUGAUGGGGUUAGCGGUAACGCGAAGCUCUUGAUCGAAGCCCCGGUAAACGGCGGCCGUAACUAUAACGGUCCUAAGGUAGCGAAAUUCCUUGUCGGGUAAGUUCCGACCUGCACGAAUGGCGUAAUGAUGGCCAGGCUGUCUCCACCCGAGACUCAGUGAAAUUGAACUCGCUGUGAAGAUGCAGUGUACCCGCGGCAAGACGGAAAGACCCCGUGAACCUUUACUAUAGCUUGACACUGAACAUUGAGCCUUGAUGUGUAGGAUAGGUGGGAGGCUUUGAAGUGUGGACGCCAGUCUGCAUGGAGCCGACCUUGAAAUACCACCCUUUAAUGUUUGAUGUUCUAACGUUGGCCCGUAAUCCGGGUUGCGGACAGUGUCUGGUGGGUAGUUUGACUGGGGCGGUCUCCUCCUAAAGAGUAACGGAGGAGCACGAAGGUUGGCUAAUCCUGGUCGGACAUCAGGAGGUUAGUGCAAUGGCAUAAGCCAGCUUGACUGCGAGCGUGACGGUGCGAGCAGGUGCGAAAGCAGGUCAUAGUGAUCCGGUGGUUCUGAAUGGAAGGGCCAUCGCUCAACGGAUAAAAGGUACUCCGGGGAUAACAGGCUGAUACCGCCCAAGAGUUCAUAUCGACGGCGGUGUUUGGCACCUCGAUGUCGGCUCAUCACAUCCUGGGGCUGAAGUAGGUCCCAAGGGUAUGGCUGUUCGCCAUUUAAAGUGGUACGCGAGCUGGGUUUAGAACGUCGUGAGACAGUUCGGUCCCUAUCUGCCGUGGGCGCUGGAGAACUGAGGGGGGCUGCUCCUAGUACGAGAGGACCGGAGUGGACGCAUCACUGGUGUUCGGGUUGUCAUGCCAAUGGCACUGCCCGGUAGCUAAAUGCGGAAGAGAUAAGUGCUGAAAGCAUCUAAGCACGAAACUUGCCCCGAGAUGAGUUCUCCCUGACUCCUUGAGAGUCCUGAAGGAACGUUGAAGACGACGACGUUGAUAGGCCGGGUGUGUAAGCGCAGCGAUGCGUUGAGCUAACCGGUACUAAUGAACCGUGAGGCUUAACCUUACAACGCCGAAG
This 2925-nucleotide ribosomal RNA is filed under the name Escherichia coli. Its description in RNAcentral is "bacterial LSU rRNA". It matches the Rfam family "Bacterial large subunit ribosomal RNA". The record is from RNAcentral. Lineage: Bacteria; Pseudomonadati; Pseudomonadota; Gammaproteobacteria; Enterobacterales; Enterobacteriaceae.